Molecule: ribosomal RNA, 254 nt
Filed under: uncultured Methanosarcina sp.
Lineage: Archaea; Methanobacteriati; Methanobacteriota; Methanomicrobia; Methanosarcinales; Methanosarcinaceae
Description: partial 16S ribosomal RNA
Rfam family: Archaeal small subunit ribosomal RNA
Source: RNAcentral
CCUACGGGGGGCAGCAGGCGCGAAAACUUUACAAUGCGGGAAACCGUGAUAAGGGGACACCGAGUGCCAGCAUCAUAUGUUGGCUGUCCAGAUGUGUAAAAUACAUCUGUUAGCAAGGGCCGGGCAAGACCGGUGCCAGCCGCCGCGGUAACACCGGCGGCCCGAGUGGUGAUCGUGAUUAUUGGGUCUAAAGGGUCCGUAGCCGGUUUGGUCAGUCCUCCGGGAAAUCUGACGGCUCAACCGUUAGGCUUUCG